This 227-nucleotide unclassified non-coding RNA is filed under the name Hevea brasiliensis (rubber tree). The record is from RNAcentral. Lineage: Eukaryota; Viridiplantae; Streptophyta; Magnoliopsida; Malpighiales; Euphorbiaceae.
AACAAUGCAAUUGAGAUUCUCAAUAGAGAAGUUAAAACUGCAAAGCAAUUAACUAUGGAGUGUACUAAAAGAAAUAAACUAUAUCUCCUGAUGAAUUGCCGGACAAUAGUCAAGCGUUUAGAAAACAUCACUAGGGAAAUUAGCCUGGCUCUAGAUCUUCUUCCUUUGGCUACUUUGGAUCUUGCAUCUGGUAUAAUUGAAGAGAUUGCAGAACUCCGACAUAGUCU